CUUAGGACAUAGUGCCAAGUUUGGGUCCUGAGGGAGCAGCAACCUGAGAUACAGUAUUACUUUGACACUUGGCAUGUGUUUAAAGAAGAUAGAUGAUUGUGGGAAGGAGCGGAACUGUGGAGAGGUUCGGUGCUGGAGGAAGAGUACUGUAAACCACCUCCACUGGUGCACCUCCUUCUGCAAGACAGGAGAAGCUGUGGUGAAGUGGAGGUCUGUUACCAACCAUGUCCAGAAUGGCCACCAUCAUGAGAGUGAGAUGUUUCCUGAUUGUGCCCACCUACACCUUAACGAAUGGUUGAAGCCAAGCACCAAAGCUUGUGAGAAGUUUUGUGACUUGAUGCUGCAGGGUCAACUUCUCAAGGACAUCUCACAUCUGAGUCCUCACCACUAGACCUCCUCAAUUAAAAGCUUCUAUGGCCUGAUCUUGAAAUUUGCUCCCAAGAAUGGGGUAUUCCCAUUCAUGGGAAUGUUGUGCAGGUUAGACAAUUUUGUAAAUUAUUUGUUUUAUUACUUUGAUGUAGUGAAAUACAGUCUAUUCUGGGAAAUGGUUAAUGUCAGGUUCAGCUCAUGUUUGUGGCAACACACAAUUUACCACCUUAAAAAUAGCUUUGCUUUUGUCACACACCUUUUUUUAAGAUCCAAUCAGGAAAGUAAAGAUCACACCAAAUUCAGUGCCAGUUAGUUUAUGUUCUAGCUUAUAAUGCCUGGAAAAAGAAGGGUCACAAGAUUGACUCCCGCCCAGCUAAUUCACACAUGCGGACCAUGGUGAGGCGUGCAAUUUGGAUGGGGAAGCUGUGGUCAGGGUCAGAUGGCCGAAGUACGAAAAGGGAGAAUAUUCUCUCUACUAUGUGAAGACUGCUCCCACAUACAGUAAGUUACACAAUAGAACCUGUGUAUAAAACUUCCAAACAAUGACAACAAUGGCUACAGACAUACAUUGUCAUUUUUUACUAACUCCUCCUCUGUGAAUUGGUCCUGGUCAAAGUCACCAUAGUACUGGACCAUGGAUGCAAAUUCCACUUGAAGAACCAAUGGGUUGAGGCAUACAGCUUCAAAUCCUGGGUGUUGAAGGAGGCAAGUAGUCAUCUACACUUGAAUGGAGGCUAACAUCCAACUCUGAAUCACUGUAGUUCUUAAUGUUUGCUAUGGUCUGCCCACUUUUCAACAUUUGAAUCAAAUUCCUCCCAGUGUUAUGUCCCGCCUGUCUAUUGUGUUUCACUCAGAAAUACAGAAGUUAGAUACUCUUGAAAUGCCAUUUCAUCCAGGGCUUUCCAAAAGGAGAUGGAGUAGUCGGCCAGUGGGAAACAGUAGCCAGCUAGGGGGGCCCGUGGGUAUGCCCCCCCGGAGAAAAACUGGUCGUAAAAACCCAAAUUUGGUGGCCUCUGGCACAUUCUAAUGCCACCAUUCCAUCAUAUACACUGAUCUUACUUAUUGCAUAUUUUAAUGAGUGUGCCUACCUGGUUGUAAACAUGUAGUGAAUUAUCGUAAAGUAGAAUUAGACUUCUUGUGCGCUCUGCCCACACAGUCUGUAAAUAGCUGUUGAUAUUUGAAACACCAUCUAUUCCUGACUGAUUGGAACUUUUGUAAUUAAGAAUAAGAAUAAGAAUUUUUUAUUUAUUUAUUGACACCUGCACUGUAAGGUUUAUUAAUACAUGCCACAAUGAUGUUUAAUGUAUUGUGUUACUAGAAACAAGGUUAUUUUAAGAGGGAACAUGUUUUUAAUCCCAUGUCUUAUCAAGCCUAUGUGUUGGUUUUAAAUUCAAUUAUUUAUACAAUAAAUCUAUGCCAAAAUAACUCUACAAUAACAAAACACUUGAAUUACUUGACUCUGAUCAUGUGAAUCUACGAAUCAACUCAACUUCAUCAACAUCAUUUUCAUCUUCACUAUCAUCCUGAGUGUGAGGCUGAGGCACAGUCUACAUUUUCCUCAUGUGACACAGGCCUGUUACUUUGACAGUAUUGCCUGUUCUAGUGUUUGCAUUGCAAUUAAAGAUGCUGUGAAAAGCACAGU
This is a long non-coding RNA of Thunnus maccoyii (southern bluefin tuna), 2011 nucleotides long. RefSeq lists it as uncharacterized. Lineage: Eukaryota; Metazoa; Chordata; Actinopteri; Scombriformes; Scombridae. The record is from RefSeq and is a predicted model, not a curated record. The transcript has 3 exons.